RNAcentral lists this ribosomal RNA (429 nucleotides) under Fusobacteriota bacterium. Its description in RNAcentral is "Fusobacteria bacterium partial 16S ribosomal RNA". It matches the Rfam family "Bacterial small subunit ribosomal RNA", at positions 355 to 776 of the family's 1533-position model. The record is from RNAcentral. Lineage: Bacteria; Fusobacteriati; Fusobacteriota.
UGGGGAAUAUUGCGCAAUGGGCGAAAGCCUGACGCAGCGACGCCGCGUGAGGGAUGAAGGUUUUCGGAUCGUAAACCUCUGUCAGAAGGGAAGAAACCGCACUGUGCUAAUCAGCAGUGCCUUGACGGUACCUUCAAAGGAAGCACCGGCUAACUCCGUGCCAGCAGCCGCGGUAAUACGGAGGGUGCAAGCGUUAAUCGGAAUUACUGGGCGUAAAGCGCACGUAGGCUGCUUCGUAAGUCAGGGGUGAAAUCCCACGGCUCAACCGUGGAACUGCCUUUGAUACUGCUUAGCUUGAAUCCGGGAGAGGGUGGCGGAAUUCCAGGUGUAGAAGUGAAAUCCGUAGAUAUCUGGAGGAACAUCAGUGGCGAAGGCGGCCACCUGGACCGGUAUUGACGCUGAGGUGCGAAAGCGUGGGGAGCAAACAGG